UACGUAGGGUGCGAGCGUUGUCCGGAAUUAUUGGGCGUAAAGGGCUCGUAGGCGGUUUGUCGCGUCGGGAGUGAAAACCCAGGGCUUAACCCUGGGCCUGCUUCCGAUACGGGCAGACUAGAGGUAUGCAGGGGAGAACGGAAUUCCUGGUGUAGCGGUGAAAUGCGCAGAUAUCAGGAGGAACACCGGUGGCGAAGGCGGUUCUCUGGGACGGUACUGACGCUGAGACGCGAAAGCGUGGGGAGCGAACAGG
This 253-nucleotide ribosomal RNA is filed under the name uncultured bacterium. RNAcentral's name for it is "partial 16S ribosomal RNA". It matches the Rfam family "Bacterial small subunit ribosomal RNA", at positions 524 to 776 of the family's 1533-position model. The record is from RNAcentral.